This 225-nucleotide ribosomal RNA is filed under the name Triticum aestivum (bread wheat). Its description in RNAcentral is "partial small subunit ribosomal RNA". The record is from RNAcentral. Lineage: Eukaryota; Viridiplantae; Streptophyta; Magnoliopsida; Poales; Poaceae.
CUCCGAGAACAAUAUCCAGCCUUGUACAACAUUGCUCGCGAUAAGAAUAAUACUAUUGCGCAGGUGCUCAGUUCAUCCCCCCCGAAUAUUUCGUUCAGGCGGGAUUUGACUGGCCCCCGACUUAUGUCAUGGCAUAAUCUUUUGUCCCGUCUGGAUGCGAUUAGCCUGACAGAAGGGUGGGAUGUGUUUCGCUAGAACCUUACUACAUCAGGGUCUUUCACCGUA